RNAcentral lists this ribosomal RNA (410 nucleotides) under uncultured Friedmanniella sp. Its description in RNAcentral is "bacterial SSU rRNA". It matches the Rfam family "Bacterial small subunit ribosomal RNA", at positions 354 to 776 of the family's 1533-position model. Lineage: Bacteria; Bacillati; Actinomycetota; Actinomycetes; Propionibacteriales; Nocardioidaceae. The record is from RNAcentral.
GUGGGGAAUAUUGCACAAUGGGCGCAAGCCUGAUGCAGCAACGCCGCGUGCGGGAUGACGGCCUUCGGGUUGUAAACCGCUUUCAGUAGGGACGAAGCGAAAGUGACGGUACCUACAGAAGAAGGACCGGCUAACUACGUGCCAGCAGCCGCGGUGAUACGUAGGGUCCGAGCGUUGUCCGGAAUUAUUGGGCGUAAAGGGCUUGUAGGCGGUCCGUCGCGUCAGGAGUGAAAACUCGGGGCUUAACCCCGAGCCUGCUUUUGAUACGGGCGGACUAGAGGGAUGCAGGGGAGAACGGAAUUCCUGGUGGAGCGGUGGAAUGCGCAGAUAUCAGGAGGAACACCGGUGGCGAAGGCGGUUCUCUGGGCAUCACCUGACGCUGAGAAGCGAAAGCGUGGGGAGCAAACAGG